This 200-nucleotide ribosomal RNA is filed under the name uncultured bacterium. Its description in RNAcentral is "partial 16S ribosomal RNA". It matches the Rfam family "Bacterial small subunit ribosomal RNA", at positions 8 to 236 of the family's 1533-position model. The record is from RNAcentral.
AGAGUUUGAUCCUGGCUCAGAACGAACGCUGGCGGCAGGCCUAACACAUGCAAGUCGAACGCUGCAGCAAUGCAGAGUGGCAGACGGGUGAGUAACGCGUGGGAACCUUCCCAGUGGUACGGAAUAGCCCAGGGAAACUUGGGGUAAUACCGUAUACGCCCCUAGGGGGAAAGAUUUAUCGCCAUUGGAUGGGCCCGCGU